Molecule: ribosomal RNA, 305 nt
Filed under: uncultured bacterium
Lineage: Bacteria
Description: bacterial SSU rRNA
Rfam family: Bacterial small subunit ribosomal RNA
Source: RNAcentral
UCCUACGGGGGGCAGCAGUGAGGAAUAUUGGUCAAUGGGCGGGGGCCUGAACCAGCCAAGUCGCGUGAGGGAAGACGGUCCUAUGGAUUGUAAACCUCUUUAGGCGGGGAGCAAUGCCGAGCACGCGUGCCCGGAGGGAGAGUACCCGCAGAAUAAGCAUCGGCUAACUCCGUGCCAGCAGCCGCGGUAAUACGGAGGAUGCGAGCGUUAUCCGGAUUUAUUGGGUUUAAAGGGUGCGUAGGCGGAUUUUUAAGUCAGCGGUAAAAUGUCCGGGCUCAACCCGGGCCGGCCGUUGAAACUGGGGG